Non-coding RNA from Labrus bergylta (ballan wrasse), 642 nucleotides. The record is from RefSeq and is a predicted model, not a curated record. NCBI's taxonomy places the organism in Eukaryota, Metazoa, Chordata, Actinopteri, Labriformes, Labridae.
AGCAGGCCAGGUUUGGAGCGGAGCCUCUGCAGUGACUCACAGAGCUGUUGGCUUGAUUGAGGAAGUCCGUUAGUGACUCCCAUCCUCGACACUAUAGACCCCCGAGCGACCGAGGAGAGAGAGACAGACAGGCAGGAAGAGAGACAGACAGAUGGUGAGACGGGAGGGAUAAACUAAAGGAAAGGCUGAGUUUGAAGUCUGAGAGGGUUGAGUUGACGACGGACGCAAGACGGAGAAGAUAGGACGGAACAAACAAGGACUCGUUCUCCGCUCUGGAUAUUCUGUGAAAUCUUCCUGAAAAAGAAGUGAAUGUGACCUCCGCUCUUCUACACCUCAGCCUCAGGAUUAUGUUGGUGCGUGGUCGCUCUGCGGAUCUGAAGGAGGAUCAAAAUGUUGAAAUGUAAAGUUCAAAGUUCUCUCUGCUGCCUGUGUUUCACCUCGCUGCUGCUGCUCCAGAGUCUGAGCAGAUCAGCUCCCACAGAGAACCAGACCCUCCCCUGUAGUAUCUCUGUGUCUGAACCUUUACCUGAGCUGGACUCCAUCUCUCUGACCGUGAGCACACCUGGACACGACUGCUCCUUCACCGUGACGUCACCUGACACCGGAGCAGAUGGCGCCGAGUGCAGACUGAGAAAGAGGAGA